GCACAAGCGGUGGAGCAUGUGGUUAAUUCGAUGAUACGCGAGGAACCUUACCUGGGCUCGAACGUAAGAUGACUGUAGGUGAAAGCUUACAUCUCUUCGGAGCAUUUUACGAGGUGCUGCAUGGUUGUCGUCAGCUCGUGCCGUGAGGUGUCGGGUUAAGUCCCAUAACGAGCGCAACCCCUACCUUUAGUUGCCAUCAGGUUAAGCUGGGGACUCUAAAGGAACUGCCUACGCAAGUAGUGAGGAAGGUGGGGAUGACGUCAAAUCAGCACGGCCCUUACGUCCAGGGCUACACACGUGCUACAAUGGCCGGUACAAAGGGCAGCUACCUGGUGACAGGAUGCUAAUCUCAAAAGCCGGUCUCAGUUCGGAUCGGAGUCUGCAACCUGACUCCGUGAAGCUGGAAUCGCUAGUAAUCGCGCAUCAGCCAUGGCGCGGUGAAUACGUUCCCGGGCCUU
This 458-nucleotide ribosomal RNA is filed under the name uncultured Sphingobacteriales bacterium. Its description in RNAcentral is "bacterial SSU rRNA". It matches the Rfam family "Bacterial small subunit ribosomal RNA", at positions 923 to 1382 of the family's 1533-position model. The record is from RNAcentral. Lineage: Bacteria; Pseudomonadati; Bacteroidota; Sphingobacteriia; Sphingobacteriales.